RNAcentral lists this long non-coding RNA (447 nucleotides) under Brassica rapa (field mustard). RNAcentral's name for it is "long non-coding RNA (BRAP_LNC002759)". The record is from RNAcentral. Lineage: Eukaryota; Viridiplantae; Streptophyta; Magnoliopsida; Brassicales; Brassicaceae.
GUGCUCUUAGUUUUAGAUCUAAAGUUACAGUUUCGGGACAAAUUUUUGAAUGCAAAGAGUUCUUUUUAACACUAAAAACAUCCGAACAAGAGGCUGCGAAAAUUGGUAUUGGGUUCAUUGGUGCCACAAUCGAGUUCAAAGGCUAGUUCUUGAAACCACAUUUAUGUUUUUUAUUUUUGUUUUCUAUGUUGUUAAUUGUUUUUUUUUUGCUAUCUAGAGUUUGAGAAAUUGCAUUGGUUUUCAAAAAUUACUGGUAACCACCCAGAAAUUAACAAUUAUUAAAAAUUAGGGCGGAAUGAGAGGGAAACUAAAGCGUUUCAAGAAAUGACGAUUGCUAGAUUUGUUGACGGAAUUGACAAUUGCAAGAGGCAUUUCCGGAAUUAAUGACUGCAGUUGAUAUCAAGGUUAGUCUGCAGCAUUUUUCUAUUAUAUUAGGUUAAGAUCCGC